GGGCUCGUGGCGGAACUGGUAGACGCAACGGACUUAAAAUCCGUCGCUCGAAAGAGCUUGUGGGUUCAACUCCCACCGGGCCCACCA
This 87-nucleotide transfer RNA is filed under the name Parcubacteria group bacterium ADurb.Bin192. RNAcentral's name for it is "tRNA-Leu". It matches the Rfam family "tRNA". From Rfam's summary of the family: Transfer RNA (tRNA) molecules are approximately 80 nucleotides in length. Their secondary structure includes four short double-helical elements and three loops (D, anti-codon, and T loops). Further hydrogen bonds mediate the characteristic L-shaped molecular structure. tRNAs have two regions of fundamental functional importance: the anti-codon, which is responsible for specific mRNA codon recognition, and the 3' end, to which the tRNAs corresponding amino acid is attached (by aminoacyl-tRNA synthetases). tRNAs cope with the degeneracy of the genetic code in two manners: having more than one tRNA (with a specific anti-codon) for a particular amino acid; and 'wobble' base-pairing, i.e. permitting non-standard base-pairing at the 3rd anti-codon position. RNAcentral also lists the same sequence under 1 other name. The record is from RNAcentral.